RNAcentral lists this ribosomal RNA (477 nucleotides) under uncultured bacterium. RNAcentral describes it as "bacterial SSU rRNA". It matches the Rfam family "Bacterial small subunit ribosomal RNA", at positions 28 to 498 of the family's 1533-position model. The record is from RNAcentral.
GAUGAACGCUGGCGGCGUGCCUAACACAUGCAAGUCGAACGGAGUUACUUUGACAGAUCCCUUCGGGGUGACGUUGAUUUAACUUAGUGGCGGACGGGUGAGUAACGCGUGAGCAACCUGCCUCGGAGAGGGGGACAACAGCUGGAAACGGCUGCUAAUACCGCAUAAUGUAUCAAUUUCGCAUGAUAUUGAUACCAAAGGAGAAAUCCACUCUGAGAUGGGGCUCGCGUCUGAUUAGCUAGUUGGUGAGGUAACGGCCCGACCAAGGCGACGAUCAGUAGCCGGCCUGAGAGGGUGAACGGCCACAUUGGGACUGAGACACGGCCCAAACUCCUACGGGAGGCAGCAGUGGGGAAUAUUGCACAAUGGGGGGAAACCCUGAUGCAGCAACGCCGCGUGAGUGAAGAAGUAUUUCGGUAUGUAAAGCUCUAUCAGCAGGGAAGAUACAAGACAGUACCUGUAGAAUAAGCUCCGGCU